This is a long non-coding RNA of Magallana angulata, 540 nucleotides long. RefSeq lists it as uncharacterized. The transcript has 2 exons. The record is from RefSeq and is a predicted model, not a curated record. NCBI's taxonomy places the organism in Eukaryota, Metazoa, Mollusca, Bivalvia, Ostreida, Ostreidae.
UAGCUUUAACCUUAAUGACAAAUAAAAUUAUUCUCUUUCCUUCAGUCAUAAGACCUGUGUUCAGUGUGUUUAGGGUUAUUAGUCCAACCCUAUGACCCACUUACAACCGUUAUGUAGAGGAUCUAUUUCCAAACGAAUUGUGAUAGAAAAAGACUUCAACUUCUCUUUAUUGAGGAAAUUCUGGCUAAGUUGCCGAUCACAAAACUUAAUAGGGUCGUAAAUUGUAGGGUUGGACGAAAGCAAACAGGAGUAGGCCCUUUGGUGGUUUUUUGUGACUUCUAGUGCCUGUGACUUGAUCGGAAAGAACUUUUUCUUUUUAUUAAAUCAAUGCAUGAACAACAAUAAUUCAGACUACACAUACGUGAUUGCAUCAACAUUUAUUUUUAUUUUUACCAGAAAGAAAACUUCGGGUCGGAGGAAAAAAUAAAAUAAAUAGCUAGUUCAGGUCCUUUUAUUUUUAUUUGAAUUUUUAAAAAAUAGGGUCGGCGGGUUUGUAAAUCGAAAUUUUAAAAAAUGCUGGCCUUAGUAAACACAGAUUUA